RNAcentral lists this long non-coding RNA (428 nucleotides) under Dermacentor andersoni. RNAcentral describes it as "uncharacterized LOC126528365". The record is from RNAcentral. Lineage: Eukaryota; Metazoa; Arthropoda; Arachnida; Ixodida; Ixodidae.
UUUAAAGUUUUCGCUCACUCAUUUCACUAACCAAAGGCUGCAGAUAAUGCAGAAGCAGGUUUUAGCAGUCAUCUUUAUCACCUUUGUGACAGAUGUAGAGCUCCCAGUACGCAUUUUCCCGUCAUAUUUUGUGAGUUCCUACAGGAUCAAGGAGUUUGUAAAUACCCACGAACCUAUUUGGACUUACAUUAGCAAUAAGACAAUAAAUACCCUUUGCAAGAGCGACCGAAUGCGCACUAUACACCAAUUUUUCAUUUUUUUCAACAGAUCCCUGUUAAUCAAUGGGGAAAGGACUACCCAUCACCUAGAGGGACAUUUUGAUGCACAGCAUUCCGACCGGAUGACUAUUCAUCCCACAGGUAUUAUAAAAUUAUAUAGUCCUUACGAAUUUCGUAAAACGUAUCCGCGGUGACACUAGGGGCGUGUUA